RNAcentral lists this ribosomal RNA (494 nucleotides) under uncultured bacterium. RNAcentral describes it as "partial 16S ribosomal RNA". It matches the Rfam family "Bacterial small subunit ribosomal RNA", at positions 28 to 507 of the family's 1533-position model. The record is from RNAcentral.
GACGAACGCUGGCGGCGUGCUUAACACAUGCAAGUCGAACGGAAAGGCCUGCUUUCCCUUGUGGAUUGCGGGUACUCGAGUGGCGAACGGGUGAGUAACACGUGAGUGAUCUGCCCCCAACUUGGGUAUAAGCCUGGGAAACUGGGUCUAAUUCCCGAUAGGACUGCAGGGUGGUGCCUGUGGUGGAAAACGAUUUUCUAGUGGUUGGGGAUGAGCUCGCGGCCUAUCAGCUUGUUGGUGGGGUAAUGGCCUACCAAGGCGGCGACGGGUAGCCGGCCUGAGGGGGUGGACGGCCACAUGGGGACUGAGAUACGGCCCAGACGCAUACGGGAGGAAGCAGUGGGGAAUAUUGCACAAUGGGCGGAAGCCUGAGGCAGCGACGCCGGGGGGGGGAUGACGGCCUUCGGGUUGUAAACUCCUUUCGACCGCGAGGAAGCCACCUGGUUGGAAGGGUGGUGACGGUAGUGGUAGAAGAAGCACCGGCUAACUACGUG